UAGAGUCGUUACAUCUGUAAGUUUUGAUGUCCUGGUAGGUGGACAUUCACAUCGGUGGAGAGCUGGUGGAGUCUCUGUCAGAGGAGGAACCAGACACACCUGUGCAGGAUGAAGCCCCUCCUACUUCAGUAGAGGAUGUACCUGAUGCAGACCUGCCCAGUGGACCACACAGCUACAGACUGGAGGAGCUGGCGUACGCGAGGAGCGGCGACAAAGGAGACUCUGCUAACAUUGGAGUCGUAGCUCGCCAUCCGCUCUACUUCCCCUAUCUGAAGAAAC
This is a long non-coding RNA of Haplochromis burtoni (Burton's mouthbrooder), 279 nucleotides long. RefSeq lists it as uncharacterized. The record is from RefSeq and is a predicted model, not a curated record. The transcript has 3 exons. NCBI's taxonomy places the organism in Eukaryota, Metazoa, Chordata, Actinopteri, Cichliformes, Cichlidae.